RNAcentral lists this ribosomal RNA (279 nucleotides) under uncultured bacterium. RNAcentral's name for it is "partial 16S ribosomal RNA". It matches the Rfam family "Bacterial small subunit ribosomal RNA", at positions 506 to 784 of the family's 1533-position model. The record is from RNAcentral.
UGCCAGCCGCCGCGGUAAUACGGAGGGUGCAAGCGUUGUUCGGAAUUAUUGGGCGUAAAGAGCAUGUAGGCGGACUGUUAAGUCUGAUGUGAAAGCCCGGGGCUCAACCCCGGAAGUGCAUUGGAUACUGGCAGUCUUGAGUAUGGGAGAGGAAAGUGGAAUUCCGAGUGUAGGAGUGAAAUCCGUAGAUAUUCGGAGGAACACCAGUGGCGAAGGCGGCUUUCUGGACCAAUACUGACGCUGAGAUGCGAAAGCGUGGGGAGCGAACAGGAUUAGAUA